Molecule: transfer RNA, 76 nt
Filed under: Candidatus Cloacimonadota bacterium
Lineage: Bacteria; Pseudomonadati; Candidatus Cloacimonadota
Also listed under: 1 other name
Description: tRNA-Ala
Rfam family: tRNA
About the family: Transfer RNA (tRNA) molecules are approximately 80 nucleotides in length. Their secondary structure includes four short double-helical elements and three loops (D, anti-codon, and T loops).
Source: RNAcentral
GGGGGAUUAGCUCAGUUGGGAGAGCGCCGCUCUUGCACGGCGGAGGUCGUCGGUUCGAACCCGUCAUCCUCCACCA